RNAcentral lists this ribosomal RNA (1758 nucleotides) under Escherichia coli. Its description in RNAcentral is "partial 23S ribosomal RNA". It matches the Rfam family "Bacterial large subunit ribosomal RNA", at positions 418 to 2160 of the family's 2925-position model. The record is from RNAcentral. Lineage: Bacteria; Pseudomonadati; Pseudomonadota; Gammaproteobacteria; Enterobacterales; Enterobacteriaceae.
CGGGACACGUGGUAUCCUGUCUGAAUAUGGGGGGACCAUCCUCCAAGGCUAAAUACUCCUGACUGACCGAUAGUGAACCAGUACCGUGAGGGAAAGGCGAAAAGAACCCCGGCGAGGGGAGUGAAAAAGAACCUGAAACCGUGUACGUACAAGCAGUGGGAGCACAGAGCAAUCUGUGUGACUGCGUACCUUUUGUAUAAUGGGUCAGCGACUUAUAUUCUGUAGCAAGGUUAACCGAAUAGGGGAGCCGAAGGGAAACCGAGUCUUAACCGGGCGUUAAGUUGCAGGGUAUAGACCCGAAACCCGGUGAUCUAGCCAUGGGCAGGUUGAAGGUUGGGUAACACUAACUGGAGGACCGAACCGACUAAUGUUGAAAAAUUAGCGGAUGACUUGUGGCUGGGGGUGAAAGGCCAAUCAAACCGGGAGAUAGCUGGUUCUCCCCGAAAGCUAUUUAGGUAGCGCCUCGUGAAUUCAUCUCCGGGGGUAGAGCACUGUUUCGGCAAGGGGGUCAUCCCGACUUACCAACCCGAUGCAAACUGCGAAUACCGGAGAAUGUUAUCACGGGAGACACACGGCGGGUGCUAACGUCCGUCGUGAAGAGGGAAACAACCCAGACCGCCAGCUAAGGUCCCAAAGUCAUGGUUAAGUGGGAAACGAUGUGGGAAGGCCCAGACAGCCAGGAUGUUGGCUUAGAAGCAGCCAUCAUUUAAAGAAAGCGUAAUAGCUCACUGGUCGAGUCGGCCUGCGCGGAAGAUGUAACGGGGCUAAACCAUGCACCGAAGCUGCGGCAGCGACACUGUGUGUUGUUGGGUAGGGGAGCGUUCUGUAAGCCUGUGAAGGUGUGCUGUGAGGCAUGCUGGAGGUAUCAGAAGUGCGAAUGCUGACAUAAGUAACGAUAAAGCGGGUGAAAAGCCCGCUCGCCGGAAGACCAAGGGUUCCUGUCCAACGUUAAUCGGGGCAGGGUGAGUCGACCCCUAAGGCGAGGCCGAAAGGCGUAGUCGAUGGGAAACAGGUUAAUAUUCCUGUACUUGGUGUUACUGCGAAGGGGGGACGGAGAAGGCUAUGUUGGCCGGGCGACGGUUGUCCCGGUUUAAGCGUGUAGGCUGGUUUUCCAGGCAAAUCCGGAAAAUCAAGGCUGAGGCGUGAUGACGAGGCACUACGGUGCUGAAGCAACAAAUGCCCUGCUUCCAGGAAAAGCCUCUAAGCAUCAGGUAACAUCAAAUCGUACCCCAAACCGACACAGGUGGUCAGGUAGAGAAUACCAAGGCGCUUGAGAGAACUCGGGUGAAGGAACUAGGCAAAAUGGUGCCGUAACUUCGGGAGAAGGCACGCUGAUAUGUAGGUGAAGUCCCUCGCGGAUGGAGCUGAAAUCAGUCGAAGAUACCAGCUGGCUGCAACUGUUUAUUAAAAACACAGCACUGUGCAAACACGAAAGUGGACGUAUACGGUGUGACGCCUGCCCGGUGCCGGAAGGUUAAUUGAUGGGGUCAGCGCAAGCGAAGCUCUUGAUCGAAGCCCCGGUAAACGGCGGCCGUAACUAUAACGGUCCUAAGGUAGCGAAAUUCCUUGUCGGGUAAGUUCCGACCUGCACGAAUGGCGUAAUGAUGGCCAGGCUGUCUCCACCCGAGACUCAGUGAAAUUGAACUCGCUGUGAAGAUGCAGUGUACCCGCGGCAAGACGGAAAGACCCCGUGAACCUUUACUAUAGCUUGACACUGAACAUUGAGCCUUGAUGUGUAGGAUAGGUGGGAGGCUUUGA